ACACACACACAUCUAUAUAUACACACAUACACAUAUACAUAUAUAUAUAUAUGUGUGUGUGUGUGUGUGUAUGUAUCAAUAAAUAAAGUGG
RNAcentral lists this microRNA precursor (91 nucleotides) under Tupaia belangeri (northern tree shrew). Its description in RNAcentral is "miRNA (ENSTBEG00000020039.1)". The record is from RNAcentral. Lineage: Eukaryota; Metazoa; Chordata; Mammalia; Scandentia; Tupaiidae.